UACGUAGGUGGCAAGCGUUGUCCGGAUUUAUUGGGUUUAAAGGGUGCGUAGGCGGCUUUGUAAGUCAGUGGUGAAAUAUGGCAGCUUAACUGUCAGGGUGCCAUUGAUACUGCGAGGCUUGAGUACAGAUGAGGUAGGCGGAAUUGACGGUGUAGCGGUGAAAUGCUUAGAUAUCGUCAAGAACACCGAUAGCGAAGGCAGCUUACUGGGCUGUAACUGACGCUGAGGCACGAAAGUGUGGGGAUCAAACAGG
Molecule: ribosomal RNA, 253 nt
Filed under: uncultured bacterium
Lineage: Bacteria
Description: partial 16S ribosomal RNA
Rfam family: Bacterial small subunit ribosomal RNA
Source: RNAcentral